CAAGAGCAUCUCAUCCUCCCGCUGCUGAGUCAUCCUGCUCUGGCAGUUAUUUAAACAGAAGCCUCCAGGAGACAUAUAAUCAACACUGCACUCAGACAAUGCCCAGACCUCCAGAAAUCAUGUGUCAAGCUCGGAUUGCCUUAGACAGGUGCAAUUUGAAAACAGCUUUCAUCUUCUUUUCUGUCAUGUUGGUACACUAUGGGUUCUGACUUCUGACUCCUUUUCUCACAAGAAGUUCAUCCACCUGUCACUCUUAUGGGACCUUGGCACCAGAGACAGCAAUUCAUCUUUGAAGUUCUCUAACAGCAACAGUGGUAUUUCUGACUUGGCUUUCUUGUAUUUCUCUCACGUUGACAAAAUUGGUUGAGCAUCUACCAUGGGCUGCAUGUGAGCUACAGGUGCUGUUGAUGAAACUGCUAAAGGAGCUGAAUGUGACUGACGUCUUUGGAAGGAUGAGACUUAGCGUGCCUGUACAGUUGUGUCUAAAUGCUGUCCUUACCUCCCAAAGGAAAGCUGAACUAGGGCCAUGCCUGGGACAGACAGAGCACGGCCUUCCAGCAGACAUGGCAAGGAGCAAACCAGGGUCAGCGAGUGAAGAGGAGGGCAGGCCCAUUUGAAGCAACACUGUUUAUGUAAGUGUGAUCUAACUGCUUUCACUGAAAAUGGGUCAGACUCCAGUUGAGAAAACCAGGGGUCUCAAUGACUUCAGCAAAAUCACUCGGCAUUUCUUUCAGCACCUCCGAGGAUAUGGCCCUGUGACGACGUAAUGACGUUUGGAUUAAUUUCAGUUGGCCGUGUUUCCCCCUCCUUUCGUGCUUCCUCAUACUUGAUUUGCUCAUUCGUUUUUUUGUUUUGCUUAAAUACACUAAACUAAACAGGAUACAUUAUAUGACAGUUCGUGAUAAAUUUACCACUGGGAAUAGGGAAAAAGUAUGGGAUAAAGAAAUAGGUCUUUUUCGCCUCUCACAGCUGUGAUUCAGUUCUGACUCAAAAGGAAGUGUGCCACCUACUGAAUCACAGAAACCACUUCCUGUGGCUGUUUGGUUUAUUCUGGAGGAGCAUCAGGCCAAGUGCUGCCCUGCCCUGACCCUGGCGGGCUCUUCAGAGCCAAGGCAUUCACAGCUUGAGGUGGUUUGGCCUCAGACUCUUGAGAACAUUGCAUAUUAAAUUACAAGUGUUUCGUUUCCUAGCAAGGAGUCUUUAGCAACAUGCAAACGAACAUGUGUUAUUUGCAAACCAAGUGUAUCAUUACUGAACCUGAAUAUCCUUACUUUCUCAUAAGGUAUGUAUUCCGGAUGACCAGUCUUAAGAUCUGAAUGUACACUGGCUCUGUUUUUACUGAGGGCAACAUGGACAGUCUGCAGGGUUGCAUUAACCAACUGAGGGAGUUCAAGAGUACCCUUUAGUCGGUGAAGCAACACUGAACUUGUAUUCACUCACUCAACGUAUUUUUGGGCAUGUGCUUAUUGCCAUGUGCCGAGCUAGGUAGGGGUAGAGGAUACAGUGAUAAACAAGACCCUGCAGCUCCUGAUCUCAUGGCUCAUGUGUUCUACACUGUAAGGGAAUUACGCUCUGUUCCCGGGGCAGGGGCCUUCCUCUGUUCACCAUGCAGCCCCAACAUCUAGCACUUGGCCUUGCAUAAAAGAACCUCUAAAUCAAGCUUGUUCAACCCAAGGCCAUGGGCCGCAUGUGGCCCAGGAUGGCUUUGAAUGCUGCCCAACACAAAUUUGUAAAAUUUCUUAAAACAUUAUAAGAUGUGUGUGUGUGUGUG
Long non-coding RNA from Sapajus apella (tufted capuchin), 1771 nucleotides. RefSeq lists it as uncharacterized. The transcript is spliced from 3 exons. The record is from RefSeq and is a predicted model, not a curated record. Lineage: Eukaryota; Metazoa; Chordata; Mammalia; Primates; Cebidae.